RNAcentral lists this unclassified non-coding RNA (266 nucleotides) under uncultured fungus. RNAcentral's name for it is "partial contains 5.8S ribosomal RNA, internal transcribed spacer 2, and large subunit ribosomal RNA". The stretch from base 1 to 52 matches the Rfam family "5.8S ribosomal RNA", at positions 103 to 154 of the family's 154-position model. The record is from RNAcentral. Lineage: Eukaryota; Fungi.
AACGCACAUUGCGCUCCUCGGUAUUCCGGGGAGCAUGCCUGUUCGAGCGUCAUUUACACCUCUCAAGCGUAGCUUGGUAUUGGACUUCGUCUUUGGAGACGGGUCCGAAAACGAGUGGCGGUCGAGUAGAACUUUAAGCGUAGUAAAUUAUCCCGCUUUGAAAGUUAUAUUCUGUCUACCAAUAAAUUCAGUCUUAAGAUUAAUCUCAGUCCUAAGACGCAUUCAAGAUUGACCUCGGAUCAGGUAGGGAUACCCGCUGAACUUAA